UAAUACGAAGGGGGCUAGCGUUACUCGGAAUUAUUGGGCGUAAAGCGUGCGUAGGCGGUUAUAUAAGUUGGGAGUGAAAGCCCAAGGCUCAACCUUGGAAUUGCUUUCAAAACUAUAUAACUUGAGUAUUGGAGAGGAUAGUGGAAUUCCUAGUGUAGAGGUGAAAUUCGUAGAUAUUAGGAGGAACACCAGAUGCGAAAGCGACUAUCUGGCCAAAUACUGACGCUGUUGCACGAAAGCGUGGGGAGCAAACAGG
RNAcentral lists this ribosomal RNA (256 nucleotides) under uncultured bacterium. RNAcentral's name for it is "partial 16S ribosomal RNA". It matches the Rfam family "Bacterial small subunit ribosomal RNA", at positions 521 to 776 of the family's 1533-position model. The record is from RNAcentral.